UACGUAGGGUGCGAGCGUUAAUCGGAAUUACUGGGCGUAAAGCGUGCGCAGGCGGUUUUGUAAGCCAGAUGUGAAAUCCCCGGGCUUAACCUGGGAAUGGCAUUUGGGACUGCAAGGCUCGAGUGCGGCAGAGGAGACUGGAAUUCCUGGUGUAGCAGUGAAAUGCGUAGAUAUCAGGAGGAACACCGAUGGCGAAGGCAGGUCUCUGGGCUGACACUGACGCUCAGGUGCGAAAGCUAGGGGAGCGAACAGG
This 253-nucleotide ribosomal RNA is filed under the name uncultured bacterium. RNAcentral describes it as "partial 16S ribosomal RNA". It matches the Rfam family "Bacterial small subunit ribosomal RNA", at positions 524 to 776 of the family's 1533-position model. The record is from RNAcentral.